CUGGAGCCUGUGCAUGCAGGCUCUCUGACAGAUGCUCUUCUGUGACACAGAAGCAUCCACCCUGGCUGCUGCAGAUUACCAGGAUUUGACCUGUCAUGGUAAUGUGGGUAGGGUGUCAGUUGCCCCUUCUUCAUCUAACUCCCAAGGAAGCUGUGAGGAGCAUUGGGUUGAAGUUAGUACUCCCUGGGAGUGAUUUUCUUAUACUUCAUCUCCACCUUACUUCCCUGUCCAAGGUUAGGGGGAGGGGGUUUCAGUAAACUGCAGCUGUCAGAGAUCUCUCAACAAGUUUCUUUUUUCAUGGAUUAGUAAGAAAACCCAUUUCAGAGGCAUUCCCUAUGGUUUUAUUUAUUGCUAUCUGGAUGUGUGAAGAAACUGUGUUGAUUUAAUUUCUUCUAGGAAGACUGACUAGUUGUGGACUCUACAAAAUAACUGUCUUGCCUGGUACAGUGGUACUUCUCUCCUGCAAAGAGUUUGGGCUGAGUUGUACAAUUUUCUUUACUGUCUUUGCUGUUUCUGUUCUGUCUUAACUUGGUCUGCUUUUCUUUCCAACUGUGUUAAGCAAGGAAACUUGAGGGUUUUUUCUCCCUCCUUUUCUCACUGUUUACCCUCUCCCCUGACCCCUCUCUGAUCAGUGUUCAGGAUCAAGAAAUUCUUUCCUUAUUUUCUAUUCCAGUAACCAAACUCCACUUCACUUAAGGUUCCAAGGUGUCCAUAAUUGAAUUUUUGAGUCUUUACUCUGUAUCCACUACUUAUUCAGCUGUUCCUUCACUGCUUUGUUUCUGGACUGGGGUGAUCAGAUUGUUGCAUAGAUCUACUGUAUCAUCUUGAGAGAGUGUGUUUAGCAUCUUGAUUCACAUUUCUCCCCCUAGAACUUUAAUCUUCUCUCCUGGAUAGUAAGGCUUGUGCUGAGAAGUCUACUGUUAGUCAUAUUGUAAUUAAAUUACAAGAUGAUGUCAGAUCAGGCAGCAUCCAAAGGAAGCAGAUUUAAAGGGACUGCUGAACCAGGCUUUGAGAUAUCACUCCCUUGUGGAACUCGAUCAGACCCACAGAGUGGAGAGGAGAAGGGUCUGAGGAGAAACCGCAUGGAAGCUCGACUGGACUGGAUUUUUAUGGGGCUUACAGCAGGAAGGGAAGGGCUUGAGACAGGAAAAUGUGUUUUUAGGGUCCCUUGUCCCCUUGGAGUUGAUUAGGGGAGUUGGCUGAACUCCAGAAUUGGCUAGGGGGUCCUGAUGGUUGACAGGCGUUAGUCAGGAGAUCUCACUGAUUGACAGGCAUUUCAGCUGGCACCUGAUUGAUGUUCCUUUCCUUCAAGGGCUGUUUUGUUUUAAGUUGCCACUAAGUCGCCACCACUGACCUAACAUUCCAGCCUUUAUGGUGAUACAGGGC
This 1386-nucleotide long non-coding RNA is filed under the name Marmota monax (woodchuck). The record is from RNAcentral. Lineage: Eukaryota; Metazoa; Chordata; Mammalia; Rodentia; Sciuridae.